GCCCACGUAGCUCAGUGGUAGAGCACUCCCUUGGUAAGGGAGAGGCCAAGAGUUCAAUUCUCUUCGUGGGCACCA
RNAcentral lists this transfer RNA (75 nucleotides) under Hyphomicrobiales bacterium. Its description in RNAcentral is "tRNA-Thr". It matches the Rfam family "tRNA". Rfam says of the family: Transfer RNA (tRNA) molecules are approximately 80 nucleotides in length. Their secondary structure includes four short double-helical elements and three loops (D, anti-codon, and T loops). Further hydrogen bonds mediate the characteristic L-shaped molecular structure. tRNAs have two regions of fundamental functional importance: the anti-codon, which is responsible for specific mRNA codon recognition, and the 3' end, to which the tRNAs corresponding amino acid is attached (by aminoacyl-tRNA synthetases). tRNAs cope with the degeneracy of the genetic code in two manners: having more than one tRNA (with a specific anti-codon) for a particular amino acid; and 'wobble' base-pairing, i.e. permitting non-standard base-pairing at the 3rd anti-codon position. The record is from RNAcentral. Lineage: Bacteria; Pseudomonadati; Pseudomonadota; Alphaproteobacteria; Hyphomicrobiales. RNAcentral also lists the same sequence under 4 other names.